Molecule: ribosomal RNA, 271 nt
Filed under: uncultured bacterium
Lineage: Bacteria
Description: partial 16S ribosomal RNA
Rfam family: Bacterial small subunit ribosomal RNA
Source: RNAcentral
GACGGAGGGGGCUAGCGUUGUUCGGAAUGACUGGGCGUAAAGGGCGCGUAGGCGGUUUAUUAAGUGAGGCGUGAAAGCCCUGGGCUUAACCCAGGAGGUGCGUUUCAUACUGGUGAACUAGAGUGCGAGAGAGGAAAGUGGAAUUCCUAGUGUAGAGGUGAAAUUCGUAGAUAUUGGGAAGAACACCGGUGGCGAAGGCGGCCAUCUGGACCACUACUGACGCUGAGGCGCGAAAGCGUGGGGAGCAAACAGGAUUAGAUACCCUGGUAGU